GCUCUCUUGGCCAAGUGGUAAGGCAUCGCACUCGUAAUGCGGGGAUCGCUGGUUCAAACCCGGCAGUGAGCA
Ascoidea rubescens DSM 1968 is the source of this 72-nucleotide transfer RNA. It matches the Rfam family "tRNA". Rfam says of the family: Transfer RNA (tRNA) molecules are approximately 80 nucleotides in length. Their secondary structure includes four short double-helical elements and three loops (D, anti-codon, and T loops). NCBI's taxonomy places the organism in Eukaryota, Fungi, Ascomycota, Saccharomycetes, Ascoideales, Ascoideaceae. The record is from Rfam.